CAGAGGGAAAGUAAACCUCGUUUAGCUCCUCCCUUCCACGUUGCCAUCAUGCAUAUGGCAACUCCUCCAAGAACAUCACUCCAGACCUUCAAAAGGGAGAGUCCCAAACCAGAGACUGUCGUCCACUCUCCUCUUCUCGCCCUUUCUCUCUUUGCUGGGCACAUCAGUGUGUUUGCAUGCCUCGAAACUCCUAGUUAGGAACCUCCGAUCAAAAAACUUUCUUCAACAAAGUUGUUCGCCUAUGUCUCCUCUAUCUAGCCUCCAAAUUUCAGCUCCAUCGGAUUCGAUUUGAGACCUGUACACCCCUUGAAGCAGAAGCUGUUCGGAAGCGAGCCUGUUCCGGAUUUCUGCUUGAAUUCCCUCUCUUGCUCUACCCGAAUCCCUCACAUCUUACUUGAGACUGAUACAAACACUUGGUAAGAUUCUGGAACCAACAAGUUCCCCUUUCUUUCCUCGAUUUUAGGCUCAAUACAUUCAAAACAACUCGAUCUUCCACAUAUUGAGAAGUUUCUGUUUCACUCUGCAUGUUCGAGAUGGAGCGAAUUUCUUGACCUGCAACUGGGCUCGAUCCAAUCAGCUCCCUCAGCUCUCUUUCCUGUUGAAACCCUCAAGAAAAACUCACCUUUUUUAUUAGUCUUUGGCUCGAUACUGUGGUGGAAUCUUGUGAAGUUGGUGGUUGCUACAAGGUUGCAUUGAGGCCAAGUUCUGCAAGAGAAAGCUCGAGUUCCAGGUAGGGGAUGCCUUUAACUCUAUCUAUGCUUUUCUUGCAUAUACUAUGUUUUAUAAGAGGCCUCUUGCAUGGUUUUUGGAAAUUAUCUGUUUUACAAUUGAAAUGGUUUGCAUGGAUUGGAUUGAUGUGUUGGCAAUUGAUGGGGAUGUAAGGAGAGGUCAGUUCCUCCUUGAGCCACCGGUGGUGGGCAGUGUGCACCAUGCCCUUGUUAUUGAAUUACCCCCCUUGUCUCUAGCCUUGUGAUUAUUGAAUUCCGGAAAGUGAUUGGCUAGAUGGACGGUUAUGAUGAAUGUUGUGGAAGAAGAUCAAUUGCCAUGGAAUUGUAAUUACGUGGUGACGAUCACGUGGAAUCGCAAACUGGUUCUUAUCUAUUACUUUUUCUCAAAACGAUAAAUCAUAUUUUUAAACUUAGAUAUGGGGGCGGGCAUGGGCAAUGAUUGGAUGUAGGAGCCUAACCCCUACUUUAGUUUGUUGUCGAAGCUUGGGUACGGAGGAUAAUCCUUGGAGGCCAAAAUUUGUUUUGUUUAAAGUUUAUUUUAUUUGGCUUGUUUGAUUUCGUUAAAUUUUUGUAACGUUA
Rosa rugosa (rugosa rose) is the source of this 1307-nucleotide long non-coding RNA. RefSeq lists it as uncharacterized. The transcript has 2 exons. NCBI's taxonomy places the organism in Eukaryota, Viridiplantae, Streptophyta, Magnoliopsida, Rosales, Rosaceae. The record is from RefSeq and is a predicted model, not a curated record.